CACCCCCGGGUCUCACCCCAGUGCCUGGAUGCUCACCCCUGGGGCCGGUUGAGACUGCAGCUCUCCCUUCCUGAGUCCACAUCGAAGGGAUCUGCAAAACACACUACGUGUUAUUUGCUACUGCCCCCAAUAGUACAAUAAAUGGUAAUAUUAAUUAAAAAAAAUAUAUAUAUAAUAAAAGCUUCCUAUCGAAAAUAUAUGUUUUGAACUGCACUGUACUAUUGCUUUGGCAGCCACAUCUUCUACAAUGAUAAUUCCUUUAUUUUAUGCUAGGUUUUGGUCCAAUCUGAGGCUUGUAUGUUAGUAUCCCUGGGUUACCAAAGAUUUUGGUCCAAUCUGAGGCUUGUAUGCUAGUAUCCCUGGGUUACCAGAGGUUUUGGUCCAAUCUGAGGCUUGUAUGUUAGUAUCCCUGGGUUACCAGAGGUUUUGGUCCAAUCUGAGGCUUGUAUGUUAGUAUCCCUGGGUUACCAGAGGUUUUGGUCCAAUCUGAGGCUUUUAUGUUAGUAUCCCUGGGUUACCAGAGGUUAUGGUCCAAUCUGAGGCUUGUAUAUGUUAGUAUCCCUGGGUUACCAGAGGUUAGGGUCCAAUCACCCAAGUGGGUGCUACAUAUUGGUGGUGGUUAGUGAGGUCCCCACUUCACUUUAGGCGUCUUUGAGUGUUAUUAAUUAUUUUUAUUCUUCAUGUUUAACCUCUGUUUUCCUUUUAUUCCUAGUCUGUUUUACAUAGUUUUGAAUGAUGACUAUAUGCUCUGUAAGGUGACCUUGGGUGUCUUGAAAGGCGCCUCUAAAUUAAAUGUAUUAUUAUUAUUAUUAUUAUUAUUAAUCUGAGGCUUGUAUGCG
Long non-coding RNA from Gadus macrocephalus (Pacific cod), 839 nucleotides. RefSeq lists it as uncharacterized. NCBI's taxonomy places the organism in Eukaryota, Metazoa, Chordata, Actinopteri, Gadiformes, Gadidae. The record is from RefSeq and is a predicted model, not a curated record. The transcript has 3 exons.